GACGAACGCUGGCGGCGGGCUUAACACAUGCAAGUCGAACGGAAAGGCCCUGCUUGUGUGGGGUGCUCGAGUGGCGAACGGGUGAGUAACACGUGAGUAACCUGCCCUUGACUUUGGGAUAACUUCAGGAAACUGGGGCUAAUACCGGAUAGGAUCUCCUGCUGCGUGGUGGGGGUGGGAAAGUUUCGGCCGGUGGGGAUGGACGCGCGGCUGAUCAGCUUGUUGGUGGGGGAGGGGCUGACCAAGGCUUUGACGGGUAGCCCGCCGGGGAGGGGGACCGGCCACAAUGGGCCUGAGGGACGGCCCAGCGUCCUACAUGAGGCAGUAGUGGGGAACAUUGCCCAGUCGGCCGGAGCGUGAUGCGAAGACCUCGGGGUCGGGAAGCCCGUUUUUGGGUUGUAAAAAGCUUUAGGCUGUGACCCAGCGUUGGUGACGGUACUGGGAAAAGAAGCACCGGCUAACUUCGUG
Molecule: ribosomal RNA, 468 nt
Filed under: uncultured bacterium
Lineage: Bacteria
Description: partial 16S ribosomal RNA
Rfam family: Bacterial small subunit ribosomal RNA
Source: RNAcentral